RNAcentral lists this ribosomal RNA (588 nucleotides) under Enterobacter asburiae. Its description in RNAcentral is "partial 23S ribosomal RNA". It matches the Rfam family "Bacterial large subunit ribosomal RNA", at positions 2211 to 2798 of the family's 2925-position model. Lineage: Bacteria; Pseudomonadati; Pseudomonadota; Gammaproteobacteria; Enterobacterales; Enterobacteriaceae. The record is from RNAcentral.
UGGCUGGUGUUCUAACGUAGACCCGUGAUCCGGGUUGCGGACAGUGUCUGGUGGGUAGUUUGACUGGGGCGGUCUCCUCCCAAAGAGUAACGGAGGAGCACGAAGGUUAGCUAAUCCUGGUCGGACAUCAGGAGGUUAGUGCAAUGGCAUAAGCUAGCUUGACUGCGAGAGUGACGGCUCGAGCAGGUGCGAAAGCAGGUCAUAGUGAUCCGGUGGUUCUGAAUGGAAGGGCCAUCGCUCAACGGAUAAAAGGUACUCCGGGGAUAACAGGCUGAUACCGCCCAAGAGUUCAUAUCGACGGCGGUGUUUGGCACCUCGAUGUCGGCUCAUCACAUCCUGGGGCUGAAGUAGGUCCCAAGGGUAUGGCUGUUCGCCAUUUAAAGUGGUACGCGAGCUGGGUUUAGAACGUCGUGAGACAGUUCGGUCCCUAUCUGCCGUGGGCGCUGGAGAAUUGAGGGGGGCUGCUCCUAGUACGAGAGGACCGGAGUGGACGCAUCACUGGUGUUCGGGUUGUCAUGCCAAUGGCACUGCCCGGUAGCUAAAUGCGGAAAAGAUAAGUGCUGAAAGCAUCUAAGCACGAAACUUGCC